AAAUAAGAAAGAGAAGAGAGGAAAUAGACAGAGGAGUACGCGAAAGAACACUGUGAAGGAGAUUGCUCCUAGCUCCUUCUUUCAUACCAGGAAAGAGAAGAGGGGAUGCUUGCUUCAGUGCCAACUAAUCAGUGAGUCAAGCCUGUCUGCCCUUUAAAAGCCAAGGGUAAGAGAACAAUAACAGGAAAAGCAGGCUCCCUCACUUAAUCAAU
RNAcentral lists this unclassified non-coding RNA (212 nucleotides) under Hevea brasiliensis (rubber tree). The record is from RNAcentral. Lineage: Eukaryota; Viridiplantae; Streptophyta; Magnoliopsida; Malpighiales; Euphorbiaceae.